This is a long non-coding RNA of Bos grunniens (domestic yak), 5266 nucleotides long. The record is from Ensembl. NCBI's taxonomy places the organism in Eukaryota, Metazoa, Chordata, Mammalia, Artiodactyla, Bovidae.
AUGCCCAGAACCAAGACUGUCCCAGUCACUCCUCUGUCCCUGAGGCCUGGCUCCCAGGGAACUGGACUGGGAGUGGGCCUGAACUGCCAGCCUUUCCAGCCACCUGGGUGUCUGCACAUGCUCAGAGAUGACUUUCCCAAAGUACAUUCCCUCGCGCUGGGACAGAACCUGAGGAUGGACGUCGUUGGCACACAGGGUGCCUCGUCUAACCUGGCUCUACAACAGGAAUCUAUGUCCAAGUUCGGAUGCACAGAUACAUGUGUACACUUUGGGGCAAAGGUGGCAAGCUCAGCAGGUUCUUGGAGGAUCCUGGGCACGCAGAAGGUGCAGCGGCCUUCUGCCAGUAUGCGCAGGGCAGAUCAAAGCUCAGCCCAGCAGACCUCAGGCUUACCAGUCUCCAUCGUCUACCCAUCUGGGCCGGCAGCAGAGAGCAGCGCCUCCUGGAUGUCUCUCAAGGAGGAGCUCCGGCUGCGGGGCAAGGAGGAGCCCCCUUCUCUGGAAGACUCCUCCACCAACUGCCAAGCCCAGCCACACGCCGGGGGUAGCGUCACAGAGGCCGCGACAUCACAGGCACCGGCGCCCCCCACCCCACCCCACCGCACUCCCCGCAUCUCUCCCGCUCCCCACAGCCUGUCACCAAAGAGCGCACUGGAGGCGGAGGGGCAGCAGCCACCAGCCCGCUCCCCGCCUCCGGUACAGAGUCCAGAGUCUCGGGCCUUGGAUCUCCCAGGUGUCUAACAAGGGGGCCCAGAUUUCCCCCACCCCCGGAUUGGCGGCUUUCUUCUCAGAACUUUCUCUCCCAGGACGACUUGGGCCAGCCUUCAAAACGUGCCAAAAAUCAACAACCAGAGAACAGCUUUCCCCUCAACAAACAAAUGGAUGCAGAGAUCUUAAAUCACUCCUGCAAUGUUUAUUGCAUCCCCUUCUCUUUUUUCUUUUUUUUUAUCUUAGAGAACUGUGUUUUAUUGUAUUUUUAAUUGAAGUAUUGUUGAUUUACAAUGUGUUAAUUUCAGGUGUACAACACAAUGAUUCAGUAAGAUAUACAUAUAUAUAUAUUCUUUUUCAGAUCCUUUUAUAGGUUAUUGCAAAAUAUUGAGUAUAGUUCCCUGUGCUCUACAGCUGCUUGGUUAUCUAUUUUAAUAUAUAGCAGUGUGCAUGUUAUUCCUACCCACCCACCCCCUUGAAACUGAAAGUGUUAGUUGCUCAGUCCUUUUCAGUUCUUUGCAACCCCGUGGACUGUAGCCUACCAGGUUCCUCUGUCCAUUGGAUUCUCCAAGCCAGAAUACUGGAAUGGGCUGCCAUUUCCUUCUCCAGGGCAUCUUCCCAACCCAGGAAUCAAACUCAGGUUUCUUGCAUUGCAGGCAGGCUUUUUACCACCUGAGCCAUCAGGGAAGUUGCUUUCCCCUUCGGUAACAAUGCGUUUUCUGUGUCUGAGAGUCUCUGUUUUGUAAAUAAGUUCAUUUGUUUGUUUGUUUUUAGUUUCCACAUAUAAGUCAUAUCAUAUUUGUCUUCCUCCGUCUGGCUUCUUCAGUAGUAUAAUAAUCUCUAGGUCCAUCCAUGUUCCCUGGAGAAGGGAACGACUAAGAAUACUGGAGUGGUCCAGUAUUCUGGCCUGGAGAAUUCCAUGGACUGUAUAGUCCAUGGGGUCGUGAAGAGUCGGACACGACUAAGAGAUUUUCACUCACUCACUUCAUCCAUGUUACUGUGAAUGGUAUUAUUUCAUUCUUUUUUAUGACUGAAUAAUAUUCCAGUGUGUGUGUGUGUGUGUGUGUGUGUGUAUCACACCAUCUUUAUCCAUUCAUCUGUUGAUGAACAUUUAGGUUGCAUCCAUGUCUUGACUAUUGUGAAUGCUGUAAUGAACAUUGGGGUGCAGGUAUCAUUUCAAAAUAGAGUUUUCUCCAGACAUUCUCCAGUGGAAUUGUAAGAUCUUGUGGUAACUCUGUUUAGUUUUUAAAGGGAUCUCCAUACUGGUCUCAAUGGUGACUGCACCAAUUUACAUUCCCACAAACAGCAUAGGAGGGGUUUUUUUUUCUUCACACUCUCUCUAGCGUUUAUUAUUUGUCAGCACUUACUCUUACUCUGUGCUAGGCCCUGAGUCUAAUGAGUCAACUAAAAAUUAAAAUUUGGGUUAGACAGCCAGGUAUGUCACAGAGAUAAUGACAAUGGAGAUUUGAGUUGGGCUGUCAGGCAUGAGUAGGAUUUUUAUCAGGAGAGAGACUUUCUGAGUAUCAGAAACAGCAUGUGCAAAGGCACUGAGGCACAAAAGUUCCCUCCACGCUCCAGGGCCUCUUGAGCUUGGGGCAAGGCAGGGAACUGGAUACCAGGAGAUGAAAAAAGGCAGAGAUCAGACUAUGCAGGAUCUUUGAGGCCACCCUAGAGUCUGGAUGUGAGCAGGUGUGAUGCAACAGGCUUGUUCUGCAGUCAUUGAAAUGCCCGGGUUGGAGCCGGGGUCAGGGUGAAUGUGGAUCAGUAGCCUAUGUUGUAUUACAUCAGCUAAAGGCCUAGAGAAAUUUCAGCCAGCACAGUGGGUAGCACCAUGGGGUUUGGAGCCGAUCUGACUUGUGUUCAGGUCAUGGUGCUAUUCUUAAGAGCUGUGUGACUUGAGCAAACUUCCUCAUAUAUGAGAGGAGAGUCAUGGCCACCUGUGCAGUGUGUGACCCUGAGGGUUGAAUGCAUGCAAGCACUCAAGCACCGAGUGUUGAGGGGAUCAUGAGUCCUGGGUUUGUGUUGACUUUGGUGUCGGAAGAGGGGAGAGGCAGUGGGGAUGGAGAAACGAUGUGCACUGGGUCAUUAAUAGUGGUGGGAAGGUCAGGAGCUGGGGACAUGAGGAGGUUGCAAGUGACCCAGGUCUCUAACUGGGAUGAUAGGAUAAAUGAAGAAACCAGGGAGAGGAGUUUAUUAAGAGAUGAGAGAUUGGAAAGGAAGAUGGGUCAAACAUGCAGAACUGUGUUGGCCAUCCUAGAGUCUGGACACCAAGGUAUGAACUUGAUGCCCAAAAUGGGAGAUAAUCUGAAGGGUUUCGCGGGGUGAGAGGAAUAAGGAAACCAUUCUCUUUUUUUAAAUAAUUUUGUUUAUGUAUUUAUUUUUGGCUGCACCGAGUCUUCAUUGCUAUGCAGAGACUUUCUCUAACUGUGGCAAGCAGGGGCUACUCUCCAGUGGUGGUACACGGGCUUCCCCUUGUGGCGGCUUCUCUUGUUGCAGAGCAUGGUCUCCAGAGCGUGGGCUCAGUAGUUGUGGCGCAUGGGCUUUGUUGCUCCAUGGCAGAUGGGAUCUUCCCAGACCAGGGAUCGAACUUAUAUCCCCUGCAUUGACAGGCAGAUUCUUAACCACUGGACCACCAGCGAAAUCCCAGGAAACCAUUCUUUGCACAGACUUUUGCUGAGAAUCCACCUGUGCCUGACUCUGUGUAGAGGAUCAGAGAUUCAAAGUAAGCAAAUCACACACCCAACCCACCUCUUAACUGAAGCUGUGCACUUAGAUAGAGGUCUGCUGUGGGGGGGCCUGGGGGUAGAGAGGAAGGGAGCAACUGGAGGAAGACUCCUCAGCUUAGCACCUUGAGGUAGAGUCUGGGAGGUCUUUAGGAAGAGGUGAGCCCCUAGCUCACCUAGUCAUGACAAUAGGAAAGGGGAAUUCUAUUCAAACUACUCAACUCAGGCUUUGACAAGGAAUCCAUAGGGUUUUAAACAAAGUGAAGUUGAGGCCUCCUGAGGGGAAAAUGUGUAAUCAGUGACUGCAGUUUAAGUCUAGAACUCAGGAGAAGUGGGAGUAAGAAAUAGAAAUUGGAGGGUCAAGUGAGAGUAUGAAAUAGAGAUUGGAGGGUCUCCUGUGGUACAGCCACAGGCUUGAAAGCUCAAGGGGCAGAGAUUGUGUAUGUUCAUCACUAUGUCCUCUGCCCUUAGCACAAUCCCUGGACAAUAGCUGGCCUCAGCAUUUUUUAAAUAUAUUUAUUUGGCUACACCAGGCCUUCAAUCUUCACAAAGACCUUCAAUCUUUGUCGUGGCAUGUGGAAUCUUUAGUUGCAGCAUGCCAACUCUGAGUUGUGGCAAUGUGGGAUCUAGUUCCCUGACCAGGGAUCAAACCCUGGGCAGAGUCUUAGCCACUGGACCACCAGGGAAGUACCCCUGGAGCUCCACAUUUCUUUUUAACUUUUAUCCAAGAAAUACAUGCAUAUGGUUGAACAGUACUGAAGAGCUUAUUCAGUGAUUGAAAAGCAAGAAUCCCCUAUACCACAUCCCCAGCCUCACUCCUCAGAGCAACCACCACUAUUUCAUUUGAACUAUUUUUCUGCCUGGUUACCAUUUCAUCUUUCCACAAGCUCACAGGCUUCUUCUUGGACCACCUACCCACUGUAAUGGAACCACCCUGCCCCAUCUUCCCAAUAACAAUUAUUUUUAGAUCUGCUAAUGCCUUUGUAAAUUUAAUAUAUUUAUUUUUCAUCAACUUUAGAGAGUAUCUUUUGACACAUAUAGUAAGAUGUUUUAGUGACCUUUGUAAAUUUAAUAUAUUUAUUUUUCAUCAACUUUAGAGAGUAUCUUAACCACUGGACCACCAGCGAAAUCCCAGGAAACCAUUCUUUGCACAGACUUUUGCUGAGAAUCCACCUGUGCCUGACUCUGUGUAGAGGAUCAGAGAUUCAAAGUAAGCAAAUCACACACCCAACCCACCUCUUAACUGAAGCUGUGCACUUAGAUAGAGGUCUGCUGUGGGGGGGCCUGGGGGUAGAGAGGAAGGGAGCAACUGGAGGAAGACUCCUCAGCUUAGCACCUUGAGGUAGAGUCUGGGAGGUCUUUAGGAAGAGGUGAGCCCCUAGCUCACCUAGUCAUGACAAUAGAAAGGGAAUUCUAUUCAAACUACUCAACUCAGGCUUUGACAAGGAAUCCAUAGGGUUUUAAACAAAGUGAAGUUGAGGCCUCCUGAGGGGAAAAUGUGUAAUCAGUGACUGCAGUUUAAGUCUAGAACUCAGGAGAAGUGGGAGUAAGAAAUAGAAAUUGGAGGGUCAAGUGAGAGUAUGAAAUAGAGAUUGGAGGGUCUCCUGUGGUACAGCCACAGGCUUGAAAGCUCCAAGGGGCAGAGAUUGUGUAUGUUCAUCACUAUGUCCUCUGCCCUUAGCACAAUCCCUGGACAAUAGCUGGCCUCAGCAUUUUUUAAAUAUAUUUAUUUGGCUACACCAGGCCUUCAAUCUUCACAAAGACCUUCAAUCUUUGUCGUGGCAUGUGGAAUCUUUAGUUGCAGCAUGCCAACUCUGAGUUGUGGCAAUGUGGGAUCU